UAUUGCACAAUGGGGGAAACCCUGAUGCAGCAACGCCGCGUGAGUGAGGAAGUAUUUCGGUAUGUAAAGCUCUAUCAGCAGGGAAUAGAAAAGAAGGUACCUGAAAAAGAAGCCCCGGCUAACUACGUGCCAGCAGCCGCGGUAAUACGUAGGGGGCAAGCGUUAUCCGGAUUUACUGGGUGUAAAGGGUGCGUAGGUGGCAGGGCAAGUCAGAUGUGAAAGCCCGGGGCUCAACCCCGGUACUGCAUUUGAAACUGUCCAGCUGGAGUGCAGGAGAGGUAAGCGGAAUUCCUAGUGUAGCGGUGAAAUGCGUAGAUAUUAGGAGGAACACCAGUGGCGAAGGCGGCUUACUGGACUGUAACUGACACUGAGGCACGAAAGCGUGGGGAGCA
This 392-nucleotide ribosomal RNA is filed under the name uncultured bacterium. RNAcentral's name for it is "bacterial SSU rRNA". It matches the Rfam family "Bacterial small subunit ribosomal RNA", at positions 362 to 770 of the family's 1533-position model. The record is from RNAcentral.